RNAcentral lists this ribosomal RNA (434 nucleotides) under uncultured Lachnospiraceae bacterium. Its description in RNAcentral is "partial 16S ribosomal RNA". It matches the Rfam family "Bacterial small subunit ribosomal RNA", at positions 341 to 792 of the family's 1533-position model. The record is from RNAcentral. Lineage: Bacteria; Bacillati; Bacillota; Clostridia; Lachnospirales; Lachnospiraceae.
ACGGAAGGCAGCAGUGGGGAAUAUUGCACAAUGGGCGAAAGCCUGAUGCAGCGACGCCGCGUGAAUGAAGAAGUAUUUCGGUAUGUAAAGUUCUAUCAGCAGGGAAGAAAAUGACGGUACCUGACUAAGAAGCCCCGGCUAACUACGUGCCAGCAGCCGCGGUAAUACGUAGGGGGCAAGCGUUAUCCGGAUUUACUGGGUGUAAAGGGAGCGUAGACGGAAAAGCAAGUCUGAUGUGAAAACCCGGGGCUCAACCCCGGGACUGCAUUGGAAACUGUUUAUCUAGAGUGCCGGAGGGGUAAGUGGAAUUCCUAGUGUAGCGGUGAAAUGCGUAGAUAUUAGGAGGAACACCAGUGGCGAAGGCGGCUUACUGGACGGUAACUGACGUUGAGGCUCGAAAGCGUGGGGAGCAAACAGGAUUAGAUACCCUGGUA